CUGCAAAAGAUUUCUUGGGCCAUUUCAGGGACAACCCUGGCUAUAUAAUGCGUUAUUUCCAUUUAAACAAGUUUCUCCUAGGAACCCAAAAGCUUAAAUCCAAAGAAGAACUUUUUUUGUUUUUUGGUCUUUUUAGGUCGCAUCUGUGGCAUAUGGAGUUUCCUGGGCUAGGUGUCGAAUCAGAGCUACAGCUGCUGGCCUACACCACAGCUCACGGCAACGCUGGAUCCUUAACCCACUGAGCGAGGCCAGGGAUCAAACCCGCAACCUCAUGGUUCCUAGUCGGAUUCAUUAACCACUGAGCCACGAUGGGAACUCUUUUUUUUUUUUUUUUCAAAGAAGAACUUCUAAUGGUGAGGUUUUUAGGCAUAAAGCCAGACUAGCAGGGAUGGCCUAUUUGAGUGGGGAAGAGACAAAGCCUGAGACUUUGGAAUUCCAUGUCUCAGGUAGAAACAAAGUUUCAGGCCUUCACUCAUUGCACUUAGCUACCAUUACUGAGAUGUGUGCUGGUACAUGUUGAAAACUGUUUUCUGGCUUGGGUGUUGGAACACCUGAGUUCCAGUUCCAGGCUACUGCUGUGAUAUUAGGAGAGUCUGGGUCUGAGUUUCUCAUCUGUGAAAUGAAUGUGAGGGAUUAGGUCAUCGGCAAAGUUCCUUCAGCUAUGACUCCACAACUUUCCGAUAUGGGGUUUUGUAGGACUUGAUUUAAACAUGGUAGGUGGGAGAUUAUCAAAUGGUACUGAGAGAAGGAGGAUGAGUGCACAUGAAAUGCCAGGGUAAACCUGAUCACUUUGUUGUCUCUGUGAAAGGCAACUCUGGAGGCACUCCUUCCCUAAGCGGCUCUCAUUUGUGUAAUUUCCAUGGCUGAAGUAUCUACACUGCCUGCUAACACUUUCAAUUAAGUUAAAUGACUUCAUGUUCUGUUAAGUUGGGGCUGGCUAGGAAUUUCAUGACUUUCCCCCUGACUUCAUUACAAUAAUGCUUAGCACUAGGUUCACAUGGGUGAUGUCUACUCGACAGUAUUUUCAUAAUUGUACAGCUAUCAUCAAAUUAUGUUGAUUCAUGGCUGGAUGAGAAAUGACAGUGAAUAGCAUAAUUGUGAAACUUCAUAAGGCACUGACGUUUGUGCUGAAAGCACAGAAAAAUUCAGCAAGUAUUAUAGCUGUUACAGUGGGAGUGCAAUUGUGAAGACUUCAUGGGCAAGUUCACGGAAUCAGAUGUAAUUAAGCAUGAAUUAAACAUGAUGAGCUACAGGGCUAAUUUGAGAAGUGCCGAAACUACAUUAUGGAAAUCCUCUUCAGAAAAUAUGACCAGCUCCUUUUUAAACAUAUGUCAGAUGCCUAACAUAUGGUCUCCGAAGGCCUGCAGCGUACCUUGGGUGAUCCAGGGCAGUCAGCAUAUGCUUGGCGCCGUGGAAGGUCUAGUUCAUCAAGCCAAGAAGCCAGGGAACAUGAUGGGAAAUCAACCCAGGCUUGUCAGAAUCUCUCUUCUCCUUCAGAACAAGUACUAUAAAUUUCAGGAAAAGUUGGAGCCUUUUGUAGGGUACAGUGCUGUGUGCUGACAUCUCAACAACUCAUGAGUGUAGGUGAAUGCCUACUUACAGUCAGUUUACAUGGAUAAUAACAAAGUAAAGAGUCAAUUUCAUAAGCCGCCCUCACUAAUGCAGUCUAUUGACAGAGCUAUACCUUGCACAGGUUAGGGGAUGGAGACAGCAUCCUUCUGUCUAGCUCUUAUCCCUUGAACUCUCUUGCAUGCCCUCCUCCAGUCUCCUUUGUAACCUUCCCUCAACCUCAAAGAGAAAAAGUAAGAUGCCAGGAGUCAGAAGGGCAGAAUUGCAUGUUGCAACCUUCUCUUGAGAGGGGGUGGGGGAUGGGGUGGAGGUGUGACACCAUGCUUUCAGUGUCGCCUUCCUUAUAUGUAAAACUGGGAUAAUUAUAUUACAUUUCCUACCUCACCAGGGCUCCUAAGUGAAUGUGAUGUGAUGGAUGUCAGAGUCUUUCCUCUCUGUCUGUCUAUGUUUAUAUCUGUAUCACCUACAUAGAAGAUACACUUCUGGUUGGCUCGGCUUUCUGGUCCUAUUCCCAGUGGCCUAUGGGAGAUGAUGAUCAAAGUUAUGAAAAUAACAACAUCGCCGUGUGUGAUUGGAUCAUUUUGAUGUACAACAGAGGUUGAAGAAACAUGGUAAAUCAACUAUACUUUAAUAAAAGAAAACAUCAAAGAUGACCAUUUACUGUAUUUGCUCUGUGCCAGGCACCACACUAAACACCUUAUGUUUGCUUUUAUAUUUAUAUAGAGAAUUGAAUUUUAUAAAAUGAUCCUUUCUGAAUCCUAGAAUCAUAAAGUGUAAGAAGACUCAAAAUGUCUAAAUGUAAUGGCUAUUUUCUCCUUAAAAUAAUGUGGUUUUCUGGCUAUCAUUAUGAAGUAAAUGUGUCUCACCUUCAUUGCCAGUGGUUUGUGGUCUUUGUGUUGAACUCGUGGCUGCUUCCAGUCCCAGUGAAAGGUUUUGGCAGGACAUUAAGUAUAUUGCUAUCAUAUCUCGUUGUACAAAGGAAUUUUCCUCCAUCCAGCCCUUUAUUGUUUUCCCCCAAAUUCAGGUGCACAGAAUGACCUUCUUUCAGUUUUAAAGAGAUAAGUUUGCAACUUGAGAAGCUCACUGCCCACAAAUGGUGGAGGAGACUAAUGACAUCAACAACUUGCAGGCCUGGUUUAGAUAAAUAACAAUGACAGAUCAUUAAUGGAAGUUCAGGCAUGUCUUGGAGGUUGAUAUGAAAGAGCACAGAGUCAUCCUUUUGCUGCAUAAAUUUCAGUGCCUCCAACAGAGACAGGAUCCGCCACUUGUGACCCUGCAAAACAAUUGUGUUUUCACGUAAAAUCUUCCUUAAAGUUGAAAGGGUUAGAAGUCUCUCUUGGCAAGCUCAUGAAAUAUAGGUGGAGAGGAGAAGAAACUGUUUAUCAGCAUCUUCAUUGUCAUCAUUUGAUCAUCUUCUCACCAUCAGUUACCCAGGGAACAUCUGUUAGGACUUGAGUUUCUACUGCAUGCAGUAUGGUCCUUGCCCUGGAUGUGUCCAUAUGCAAAGAUUUCAAACAAGUGAACAAGCAAGAGAGAAUGUGCAGAUGAAUCAUUC
This 3124-nucleotide long non-coding RNA is filed under the name Sus scrofa (pig). RNAcentral describes it as "lncRNA (ENSSSCG00000059706.1)". The record is from RNAcentral. Lineage: Eukaryota; Metazoa; Chordata; Mammalia; Artiodactyla; Suidae.